This 1538-nucleotide long non-coding RNA is filed under the name Numida meleagris (helmeted guineafowl). Its description in RNAcentral is "lncRNA (ENSNMEG00000007993.1)". Lineage: Eukaryota; Metazoa; Chordata; Aves; Galliformes; Numididae. The record is from RNAcentral.
GUCCCGUUGCUCCCGUGGCUCCGUCCCUCUGCCGCUGCCUCCCCCCGUGUCCUCGCUCCCCGCGCCGCGUGCCCCGCCGAGCGUCGCCCCUGUGUCUCAUCUGCUGUAGGUGUUGUGCCUACCUCAAGAGGUAAACAUGGUAUCCUGGAGUCACGCCUUCACCCUCUGUUCUUUUCGACAUGAGCACUAGCGCGCACACACACUGGAAUGUAUACCCCCCCCCCCCCCCCCCCACCCCGAAUAACCUCGUGACCCGAUCCUCGCUGUAGCCACCACCAACUCCUCUUGCAAAUUGGAUGCUGCUUUAAAUGUGAAAACAAAUGUUCAAGAAGCUAUAAAACCUGAAUGAAAGCUAAAGCUGAAUUUAUAAAGCCUUGUUGCGUAUGAGCCAAAAGUGCAAAAAGCUCUAUAUAAUGAACUAACCUGCCACUCAUAUAAAUAUAAAUAUAUAUAAAUAUAUUAAAAUCAGACUGUUCUACAAAAUUGUGUAUUUGUAUUUUUGUGUACGUACAAUUUUCUGCUAAGCAGAAGGAGGAUGUAGUAUAGGAUGAUGUGAGAAGAGAUUUUGUUUAAUCCUAUUUCUUUGUUACUUAUUUUUGUUAACAUCCAGAUGCCUGUCUUUCGUCUUCUGUGUAUGACACUGUUCCCAAGGUGCAGUAUCCCUCUCCCGCCUCGUCCCCAGCCCUCUCCUUCCUCUCCGGGUGAUGCUCCUCGCCGUGCCCAGCUCUCUGCCUUUGCUCAGCCCACAGGGGAAGGAACGAGCCGUGGCGCAGACUGGGAGCGGGGAUGAGCGGUAAGCAGGGAAGAAGGGCGGGGAAGCAGCACCGUGCGUGGCAGGGAGCGCAUCUCAGGUACCAGCAGCGCGCUGCAGAGCGGGUCUGCUCCGUGCUUUGCUGCGGGGAGAAAGGGAGUUGCUCUGUCACUUGGUGUAGGCACUUAGGAGUUCCAAAGUGGAGAGCUGUCCAGGGAGGGUCCAAGGAGAGCUGCGUAGAACAGGCUGCUGCGGACAAUAACGCGGCGCUCUGCGGUUCGGGCCAUCCCAAUUCCCCUGCCCGUUCAGCCACGGCCUUGCUGCGGAGCGUGGAGCAAACGGGUCCUUUCCGUGUGCUCCCAUCUGCAGAACGAAGGUGGCAGUUCGUGUUUGUCCGACCUUCCUUGGGCAGUGGCAUCAGCUACUCCCCUCGUGCCCUUUGCGCUCUCUCUUUUUUUUUCUUUCUGGUUUUAAUUUCUAACGUGGUUUGAACCGAAUUCUGGUCCAGGGAGAGCGAUACUGCACCUUUCCAUGUAGGGCUCAUAUUUAUAACAGUGUGUAAUGACUGUAGCAAAAGUCCUUGUUUCUGUAUGUGAAUGGACAGAGAAACAAGUGCUCUAUUGUAUUGAUUAAAAUAGUUAAAAUGAGUCCUGUAUCAUUGUAUCUCCUAUUCUGGAUUAGUGCCUUUUGGACAGUAGACUGUUCUGUAAUUAAAAUGUAGUAUAACUGCUUUUUUGUACAGUUUUGUUUUAAUAAAACUUUUUUUUAAUUUGUGUUUAUUUUAGUA